CCAACACAUGUUACCAAUAGUAGCAAGUUUCAUCCAUACAUAUACAUAGUUUCAUCAAUAUUACACAGUUUCAUCAUAGGUAGCAAGUUUCACAAAGUCAAAACAAAAACUAAAGACAAGCACUCCAUCAACCCAAGCUUCCGUGAUCUGAAGCAAAUCUACAAAAUGGGAAAGAGAAAGUUAAAAGAAGAAGACUAGAAGACAUAUAGACAAGCACCCGAAGAAAGUUAGAAGAAGACUAGAAGACACUAGCGGGUAGUGCGCGACGGCACGCCGCGCUCUAUGGAUUGGUAAGUUAUUUGAUUUUUGUAAUGUUUGGUGAGUCGUCCCAAGACUUGAUUAGUUGCAAAGUACAGUAGUUCAUACAAGAAAAAGGUACACCUAGUUGGUACGUGCAUAAGUGAUCUACAAUAGGUUGGCAAUGGCUACUGCAGUUGGAUAUAUAGAAUCGCAAAGGACCUGAGAUGUUGACCUUCUAGUUGGGUUUGUCUCUGGCAACUAUGGACGCCUCGCUAGGUAGGAGAAACUUCCCAACUAUUUGUCUCUUGUGCGUCUGUUGCCCGUGUAGAUGAUCUGUGUGUUGUUCCUAAGAAAGAAAUGGUGUACAAUUAACAGGGAAAGGACAUAACUUUCAUGGAUAAAAAACCAGCUCCCUGAAGGAAAAGAAAGGCAAAAUAAUGAAGAGAAACAUCAGUUAAAAUUAAGUUCAAUAUGUCUAUUUUCUACUUGGGAGUUCAACAUUUGCAAUUACAUCCCUUGAUUUAAAAUUAAAAAAAUUCAGAAGUACAAAACUGGGAUAAAAUGCAUGCUCCUGAAUGUAACACAAUGCAGAGAUUAUGUUUCCUUUUGCAGGCAUGCAUGUAUGUAGACAUGGAUGACAGAAAAGGUGUUUCUUCUUUCGAUGAAGAAGAAUCAUAGAUCUCCGACCGCAGCUUAAGUUUGGAAUUUCUGUUGACCCCAGCCUGUUAAAAUUUAUACAUGCAUAUCAACCAGUGGAACUCCUCACUUCGGGGAGCUGGGGCAGGCCGGUGGGUACCUCAUGGGAUGUGGGGCAGGCCGUCCCCAUGCUCUCUCUCUGCUGUUUAUGUAGCAAUUCGCCUUGUAGUCUGAAGCAUACGAACUUGUAUCAGCAUCUAUAUGUUUAUGUCCCUAUCAUCUUAUAUUUGGAUAAAAUUAUUACUGAAUAAAAUAGCAUCAAGAAAAAAACAAGAGGAACAUAUGAUCAAAAUGCGGUCUGUUAGUGUGCUAAUAUGCAUCUUUGGUGGUACUUUUGCUAAAAACUGAGUGCCCAAAUGAAAGUAAGUGCAACCAGGAGAAAGUAAAACAACCAUACACUGCCUAAAAACAUAGUACAAACUUCACUGACCCUGCUGAAGACGAAAACAAGAGGCUGGAUGAAGAAGCUGCUCCACAGUACUCAAGGAUCGUGGUGAGAGACGAAAACUUAGAGCUUCAUGGAGAAAUUGCAUGUCUGAAGGUUGUAGAUAGGGCUAGUCAAUCAGUUCAGGUACAAAAAGGGCCCCAGACUGCAGCAAAAUGAACUGAAAAGAUAUCUUCUGAACCUAUAAAAGCUCCAGUUUCUCUAGCAAGGGGAAAAUUCAGAGUUAUACCUAUUGAGUAGAUUUCCAGGCCCGACAGUAUGCAGUGUGCAUGCGAACUCGACCUCAAAACAGAAUACAAUACGUGCUGGCGGCUGAUAGCUUUCCGAUUGGAACACACAAUACGGCUCCCUGCAAAAAGCAAAAAACACAAUAUGGCUUGGCUGAUUGAUUUUUAUUGACUUGAUUCCCGGGAGGAUUACUUACGCUCAAGAUGAGAAAGGCACACCUCCGUACGCCUGAAUCAAGUGCAUUGGUAUACACUAGGCCGUUGCCACACAUCCUGGAGAUACAAGGCACGUCAACAACGCAUCUAUACGCGGCAACGUUGCAGACACAUAGACGGUCAAUCGCACGCACAAUGUCUGUACCAUAUCAGCACAUCCUGUACAAUAUAACUGCUAUGACAUCAAGUGCAUCGGUACCAUGACGCCACCGUAACACCGUACCACUCUAUACUAACUUCUAACUGGACACGCAGCAACAAAACAACAACCAGAGUUUAACUCACCCAUGUACAGACAGACUCUGUUAAUAAGGCAGGAACAACAAUUCAUUGUGAUACAGCAAAGACAGUCAAGCAAUAUAGCCCUGAUCAAAUCAGAACCAGCAACAGGAACGUCACUACAUUAAGCAACACCAAGACAAUUGACAAAAUAUCAUCAGUCUAGUCUGAUCCAAUCAACUCACCAUCAACAACCACGGGAACUUUGACCGCCUGGGGGUCCGGCUGGGGCUGAGGGGCAGGGAGGGGCAGAUAUGGCAGGCCAUUGGUGACGGCUUUGGCCAACUUGUAUGCAACGACGUCAGUCCAGUCAUCAGAACUAUAAGAUUGUAUGAACACAUUCAGCCAAGUGAUGUGCAAGCAGCGAAGAAAACAGAAAAUAGAGAUUGCAGUCCAUUGCUAAAGACUUACCCGGGUAGAAAACCAACCAUCUUAACGGCAAG
RNAcentral lists this long non-coding RNA (2546 nucleotides) under Triticum aestivum (bread wheat). RNAcentral's name for it is "long non-coding RNA (TAES_LNC018678)". The record is from RNAcentral. Lineage: Eukaryota; Viridiplantae; Streptophyta; Magnoliopsida; Poales; Poaceae.